RNAcentral lists this ribosomal RNA (274 nucleotides) under uncultured bacterium. RNAcentral describes it as "partial 16S ribosomal RNA". It matches the Rfam family "Bacterial small subunit ribosomal RNA", at positions 523 to 796 of the family's 1533-position model. The record is from RNAcentral.
AGACAGAGGUGGCAAGCGUUGUUCGGAUUUACUGGGCUUAAAGGGCGUGUAGGCGUCCGGGUAAGUCAGAUGUGGAAGCCUUGGGCUCAACCCAAGAAUUGCAUUUGAUACUGCCGGGAUUGAGUCGUGCAUGGGAGGGCGGAAUUCCUGGUGUAGCGGUGAAAUGCGUAGAUAUCAGGAGGAAGGCCGGUGGCGAAGGUGGCCCUCUGGGCAAUGACUGACGCUGAGGCGCGAAAGCGUGGGGAGCAAACAGGAUUAGAAACCCUAGUAGUCC